ACAUACAAUGACUCUCGGCAACGGAUAUCUCGGCUCUUGCAUCGAUGAAGAACGUAGCGAAAUGCGAUACUUGGUGUGAAUUGCAGAAUCCCGUGAACCAUCGAGUAUUUGAACGCAAGUUGCGCCCGAAGCCAUUAGGCCGAGGGCGCGCCUGCCUGGGUGUCACAC
This 168-nucleotide ribosomal RNA is filed under the name Glycine tomentella. Its description in RNAcentral is "5.8S ribosomal RNA". It matches the Rfam family "5.8S ribosomal RNA". Rfam says of the family: 5.8S ribosomal RNA (5.8S rRNA) is a component of the large subunit of the eukaryotic ribosome. It is transcribed by RNA polymerase I as part of the 45S precursor that also contains 18S and 28S rRNA. Lineage: Eukaryota; Viridiplantae; Streptophyta; Magnoliopsida; Fabales; Fabaceae. The record is from RNAcentral.